UGUAGAUGGGCAUGCGUGACAUUAGCUAGUUGGCGAGGUAAUAGCUCACCAAGGCGACGAUGUCUAAGGGACCUGAGAGGGUGAUCCCCCACACUGGCACUGAGAUACGGGCCAGACUCCUACGGGAGGCAGCAGUAGGGAAUAUUGGUCAAUGGGCGAGAGCCUGAACCAGCCAUGCCGCGUGCAGGAAGACGGCCUUCUGGGUUGUAAACUGCUUUUAUACAGGAACAAAAAGCCGCUGCGGCGGAAAUUGCGUGUACUGUAUGAAUAAGCACCGGCUAACUCCGUGCCAGCAGCCGCGGUAAUACGGAGGGUGCAAGCGUUGUCCGGAUUUAUUGGGUUUAAAGGGUGCGUAGGCGGUCUGUUAAGUCAGUGGUGAAAGGUUACAGCUCAACUGUAGAAUUGCCAUUGAUACUGGCGGGCUAGAUUGUAGUAGAGGUAGGAGGAAUUGAUGGUGUAGCGGUGAAAUGCAUAGAUACCAUCAAGAACACCGAUAGCGAAGGCAUCUUACUAUGCUACAAAUGACGCUGAGGCACGAAAGCAUGGGGAUCGAACAGGAUUAGAUACCCUGGUAGUCCAUGCUGUAAACGAUGAUCACUCGCUGUUGGCGAUAGACAGUCAGCGGCCAAGCGAAAGCGUUAAGUGAUCCACCUGGGGAGUACGUCCNGCAGGAUGAAACUCAAAGGAAUUGACGGGGGUCCGCACAAGCGGUGGAGCAUGUGGGUUUAAUUCGAUGAUACGCGAGGAACCUUACCUGGGCUAGAAUGCGAGUGCUAUCCCCCAGAGAUGGGGAAGUUCUUUCGGGACCACGAAAGCAAGGUGCUGCAUGGAUGUCGUCAGGUCGUGCCGUGAAGUUGUGGGGUUAAGUCCCCGCNACGAGCGCAACCCCCUUGCUGUAGUUGGCCAGCACGUCAAGGUGGGGACUCUAAAGAGACUGCCUGCGCAAGCAGAGAGGAAAGGAGGGGACGACGUCAAGUCAUC
RNAcentral lists this ribosomal RNA (981 nucleotides) under uncultured organism. Its description in RNAcentral is "bacterial SSU rRNA". It matches the Rfam family "Bacterial small subunit ribosomal RNA", at positions 220 to 1194 of the family's 1533-position model. The record is from RNAcentral.